Molecule: ribosomal RNA, 356 nt
Filed under: uncultured Pelotomaculum sp.
Lineage: Bacteria; Bacillati; Bacillota; Clostridia; Eubacteriales; Desulfotomaculaceae
Description: bacterial SSU rRNA
Rfam family: Bacterial small subunit ribosomal RNA
Source: RNAcentral
GGGAGACAGGUGGUGCGAUGGUUGUCGUCAGCUCGUGUCGUGAGGAUGUUGGGUUAAGUCCCGCAACGAGCGCAACCCCUACGUUUAGUUGCUAACGCGUGAAGGCGAGCACUCUAGACGAACUGCCGUUGACAAAACGGAGGAAGGUGGGGAUGACGUCAAAUCAUCAUGCCCCUUAUGUUCUGGGCUACACACGUGCUACAAUGGCCGGUACAGACGGACGCAAAGCCGCGAGGUGGAGCAAAUCCUAAAAAGCCGGUCUCAGUUCGGAUUGCAGGCUGCAAUUCGCCUGCAUGAAGUCGGAAUCGCUAGUAAUCGCAGGUCAGCAUACUGCGGUGAAUACGUUCCCGGGCCUU